GCCAGGGUAGCCAAGCGGUCAAGGCAUCGCUCUCAUAUGGCGAGCAUCGUGGGUUCGAAUCCCACCCCUGGCA
This 73-nucleotide transfer RNA is filed under the name Myxococcales bacterium. RNAcentral's name for it is "tRNA-Met". It matches the Rfam family "tRNA". From Rfam's summary of the family: Transfer RNA (tRNA) molecules are approximately 80 nucleotides in length. Their secondary structure includes four short double-helical elements and three loops (D, anti-codon, and T loops). Further hydrogen bonds mediate the characteristic L-shaped molecular structure. tRNAs have two regions of fundamental functional importance: the anti-codon, which is responsible for specific mRNA codon recognition, and the 3' end, to which the tRNAs corresponding amino acid is attached (by aminoacyl-tRNA synthetases). tRNAs cope with the degeneracy of the genetic code in two manners: having more than one tRNA (with a specific anti-codon) for a particular amino acid; and 'wobble' base-pairing, i.e. permitting non-standard base-pairing at the 3rd anti-codon position. Lineage: Bacteria; Pseudomonadati; Myxococcota; Myxococcia; Myxococcales. The record is from RNAcentral.